GGGAAUUUACGGUCUGUGCAGAGUAGAAUGUCAGCGCUGGCAAGUGUAGAGUAGAAUGUCAGCGCUGGCAAGUGCAGAGUGGAAAUUCAACUCUUCAGAGUCAGAGUAGACGGGCAGCGCUGGCAACCUUCAGAGUAAAAAUUCAGCUCUGCCCAGUGCAGAGCUGGCCUUUUCAGCGCUGAAAACAAAGCAUUAACACCCAAAAAAUCAAAGCAUCUGCACAAGCAACCAAAACUUAGAAAAAAACACAAAACAAAAACGUAAAGCAAAGAACAAGAAAAAUAAAAAUAAAAAAAACUAAACCAACGGUGGGUUGCCUCCCACCAAGCGCUAGAUUUAAAGUCGCCAGCCCGACUUCAGUUCUGACCAUCAAUCAGGAUCAUGCAGAGCUUGAGACUCCACCACCAUCAGAGUACUCAAGUGCCCAUAAGAGGAUUUCAUGCUAUGACCGUCUCCUCUGAAAUUCUCCUUAGCAUUCUUAGCG
Molecule: long non-coding RNA, 484 nt
Filed under: Salvia miltiorrhiza (redroot sage)
Lineage: Eukaryota; Viridiplantae; Streptophyta; Magnoliopsida; Lamiales; Lamiaceae
Description: long non-coding RNA (SMIL_LNC013751)
Source: RNAcentral